UGGCGGACGGGUGAUUAUCACGUGGGUAACCUGCCCUUAAGUGGGGGAUAACAUUUGGAAACAGAUGCUAAUACCGCAUAAAUCCAAGAACCGCAUGGUUCUUGGCUGAAAGAUGGCGUAAGCUAUCGCUUUUGGAUGGACCCGCGGCGUAUUAGCUAGUUGGUGAGGUAACGGCUCACCAAGGCAAUGAUACGUAGCCGAACUGAGAGGUUGAUCGGCCACAUUGGGACUGAGACACGGCCCAAACUCCUACGGGAGGCAGCAGUAGGGAAUCUUCCACAAUGGACGCAAGUCUGAUGGAGCAACGCCGCGUGAGUGAAGAAGGCUUUCGGGUCGUAAAACUCUGUUGUUGGAGAAGAAUGGUCGGCAGAGUAACUGUUGUCGGCGUGACGGUAUCCAACCAGAAAGCCACGGCUAACUACGUGCCAGCAGCCGCGGUAAUACGUAGGUGGCAAGCGUUAUCCGGAUUUAUUGGGCGUAAAGCGAGCGCAGGCGGUUUUUUAAGUCUGAUGUGAAAGCCCUCGGCUUAACCGAGGAAGUGCAUCGGAAACUGGGAAACUUGAGUGCAGAAGAGGACAGUGGAACUCCAUGUGUAGCGGUGAAAUGCGUAGAUAUAUGGAAGAACACCAGUGGCGAAGGCGGCUGUCUGGUCUGUAACUGACGCUGAGGCUCGAAAGCAUGGGUAGCGAACAGGAUUAGAUACCCUGGUAGUCCAUGCCGUAAACGAUGAAUGCUAGGUGUUGGAGGGUUUCCGCCCUUCAGUGCCGCAGCUAACGCAUUAAGCAUUCCGCCUGGGGAGUACGACCGCAAGGUUGAAACUCAAAGGAAUUGACGGGGGCCCGCACAAGCGGUGGAGCAUG
This 860-nucleotide ribosomal RNA is filed under the name Lactobacillus sp. enrichment culture clone LBS2. RNAcentral's name for it is "bacterial SSU rRNA". It matches the Rfam family "Bacterial small subunit ribosomal RNA", at positions 96 to 941 of the family's 1533-position model. Lineage: Bacteria; Bacillati; Bacillota; Bacilli; Lactobacillales; Lactobacillaceae. The record is from RNAcentral.